UAUGAGUAGAGCGGCGGACGGGUGAGUAACGCGUAGGAAUCUACCUAGUAGAAGGGGAUAGCCCGGGGAAACUCGGAUUAAUACCGUAUACCUCCUAAGGGAGAAAGAGGGCCUCUCUUGAUGCUCUCGCUACUAGAUGAGCCUGCGUAAGAUUAGCUUGUUGGUAAGGUAAUGGCUUACCAAGGCUACGAUCUUUAGCUGGUCUGAGAGGACGAUCAGCCACAUUGGGACUGAGACACGGCCCAGACUCCUACGGGAGGCAGCAGUGGGGAAUAUUGGACAAUGGGCGCAAGCCUGAUCCAGCCAUACCGCGUGUGUGAAGAAGGCCUUCGGGUUGUAAGCACUUUAAGCAGGGAGAAAAAGCAAUAAGUUAAUACCU
This 379-nucleotide ribosomal RNA is filed under the name uncultured Pseudomonadota bacterium. Its description in RNAcentral is "bacterial SSU rRNA". It matches the Rfam family "Bacterial small subunit ribosomal RNA", at positions 85 to 480 of the family's 1533-position model. The record is from RNAcentral. Lineage: Bacteria; Pseudomonadati; Pseudomonadota.